This 253-nucleotide ribosomal RNA is filed under the name uncultured bacterium. RNAcentral's name for it is "partial 16S ribosomal RNA". It matches the Rfam family "Bacterial small subunit ribosomal RNA", at positions 524 to 776 of the family's 1533-position model. The record is from RNAcentral.
UACGUAGGGGGCUAGCGUUGUCCGGAAUCAUUGGGCGUAAAGAGCGUGUAGGCGGUUUGGUAGGUCCGCUGUGAAAACUCGAGGCUCAACCUCGAGAUGUCGAUGGAAACCGUCUGGCUAGAGUCCGGAAGAGGAGUGUGGAAUUCCUGGUGUAGCGGUGAAAUGCGCAGAUAUCAGGAGGAACACCGAUGGCGAAGGCAGGUCUCUGGGCCGCAACUGACGCUGAGGAGCGAAAGCAUGGGGAGCGAACAGG